GCAAGUCGAAUGGGUUUAGACCCAUGGCAAACGGGUGCGUAACACAUUGGUAACCUACCUCAAAGUUCAGCAUAACCCCUUGAAAAAGGGGCUAAUACUGGAUGUGUCCUUCUAACAUAUGUUAGAAGUGUAAAGAUUUAUCGCUUUGAGAGGGGCCUAUGGCUUAUCAGCUUGUUGGUGAGGUAAAAGCUCACCAAGGCUACGACGAGUAGCGGGCGUGAGAGCGCGACC
Molecule: ribosomal RNA, 231 nt
Filed under: uncultured bacterium
Lineage: Bacteria
Description: partial 16S ribosomal RNA
Rfam family: Bacterial small subunit ribosomal RNA
Source: RNAcentral